Molecule: non-coding RNA, 4611 nt
Organism: Rattus norvegicus (Norway rat)
Lineage: Eukaryota; Metazoa; Chordata; Mammalia; Rodentia; Muridae
Source: RefSeq, a predicted model, not a curated record
UUUAUUUGACUGUGAUCAUCACUAUUAAUAUUCAUGAAAAUCAAAUUAUUUCAACCAGGAACUGCUCUUCUGUUUUUAUACUUUUUGUUGGACAUAUGUAAGAGUUUUACCUUCCUGUUCACGUGUGCAACACAUGCAUGCCAAGUGUUCAGGAGGUUGAAGAGGGUGUGAGACUCUGUGACGCUGAAAUUGCAGCCAUUUGUGUGGUGUCACUCGGGAGCUGGUGAUCGGCCUCGGGUUUCUGGAAGAAAAGAUAAUGGUAUUAAUCACCGGAUAAUUUCUUCAUUUUCAGCAAACGCCAUUUUUUUUGUUAAAAAUAGUGCCUAAACUGUCCAGUUUUCUCAAAUGUGAUAAUUUAAAAUUAAACACCCACCCACCUGCUUCUUAUCUAUAUAUAUAUAUAUACACACACAUACACACACACAGACACAUGCACAACUGCUCUUACCUUCAAGUAGACUUAAUUACACACACAUACAUACACACACACACCUGCUUCUUUCCUUCAAGAAGACUUAGUUAUUUUAAUAGUUAUUUGUUUAUUUAUUCACUUUACAUGCUGCACACUGCCCCCCUCUAGUUCACCCCUCACCAAUCCUUCCCCAGCACGUUCUCCUCUGAGCAGGAAUGGACCCCACUGGUAUUUACUCCCAUUGCACAUCUAGUCUCUAUGUUCACAUCAUCUGCUACUGAGGACAGACACAGCAGCCUAGAUGGAUAGGGGUGGGGAGGUAGAGGUCAUAUCCAGAAAGAAGCAGAGAGCUGGAGUAAGAGAUGCUCAUGAAUCAAUACGUGUUUCCUUAGCUGAAAAUCAGCCUCAGUGAAAUGGAUCUGAAGAAGCCAUCUCCUGUAGCCGGAGAGCAAACCAAAUGGAAUGAUAGAGACAUCUACUUUUGACCCAAAAAUUGUACUGACCACAAGAAAUGAAAGGGCUGUGUAUAGAACAGAGAGUGAAGAAUGAUCAACCAAAGGUUAGUGCAGAUUCAGACCCACCUCAUGGAUGAGCACCAAUCCCUGACACUAUUAGUGACACUCUGUUAUUCUUGGAGAAAGGAGUGUAGCAUGGCUUCCCUCUGAGAGACUCCAUUAAGCUGCUGACUCAGACAGAAGCAGACAUACACUAGUCAAACCAGGGGUGGAGCUUGGUGACUCUGAUGGAAGAACAGAAUGAGAAGGAUUAUGGCCUCUAAGGUCAUAGCACUCCACAGGCUUUGUCUUCAUGUGUGUACCGAACAACUAGAAUUGGGCUUUCCCAAAAUAUGUUGUCUAUAGAUGGGACAUCUGUGUCUUUAAAAUGCAUUUAUUUAUUUACUCACUUUUCAUCCCAUUAUCGGUACUCCAUCUUCAUGGGAUACCAACACAUAUUGUUGUGGGAACCCGUAAAACGACAGAAUUACACAUUUCCUACCUAUGUCGUGGGGGGUUAGGUUCAGUUCAUGUUCACUCUCUGGUUUGUGGUUCAGUCUUUGGCAAACUUCAAGAGUCCCCGUGACUUGACACUAUUGGUCAUCCUGUGAAGUCCAUCAUAUCAUCUUGGCCUCAUUUCUUCACCUGUUUUUUUUUUUUCAAAAGACUCCCCAAGCUCCAGUUAAUGUUUGGUGGUGAAUCUUUACACUUGUUUCUCUCAGCUGUUGGGUGGAGUCAUUCAGAGAACAGUUAUGCUAGGAAUCUGUCUGCAAGCAUGAUAGAGUAUCUACUACUGUCAGAGAUUGGUUCUUGCCCAUGGGGUAGAUCUCAAUCUGUGCUAACCAUUGGUUGGACCUUCCAUGUCUGCUCUAUCUAUCUUUGUCUAUGGAGGUCUUGUAGGCUGUGUUCAUUUUAGAUUGAAGAUUUUUUGGGUGGGUUUUUUUCCUUGCCACAUUACUGGGAUUCAUGCCUGGCGACAUCCGUGGCCAAUUAAGGAUCUGUAUCACCACUGCUUGAGUCAACCCAAUAGACACCCUGGAGCCUUGCCUUUCCCAGGUCUCUGGCACUUCCUAGAGAUGCACACCCCACACUUGUGAUUUCCAUUCUCUUUUCCCUGCUUUCCCUAUACCUAAUAUCUCCAAUCCCCACUCCCUUCCCUAAUUCCCCUCUCAUUCAGUUUCCUCCCUCCCUCUAUCCUCCUCAAUAUCUAUUCUUCUAAAUGCAUGUUAAAGUCAAAGUUUAGGAAUAAACACUGAGGAAGUAUAGGAAGUAUUUCAUAAGUAAUUGUGGUUGAUGUUUUGGCAAGAUAUGAACAUAUUAAAUUUUACAGAUGUCAAAAUUACUACAUAUAAUUUUAGAAGAGACACUGUCUUCAUUAUAUUCAACAUGAAGGAAAACCAUUUAUAUAUUCUUUUAAGAUAUACUAGGGAAUCUAUUAAAUUAGGUACACACAUCACACAACUUUAUUACUUUUAAAGCUCUCUUUAUUGCAAAUAUUUAAACAAUGAAAAGUACAAUGGCUUAAACUCAUGUGAGUGUACUUUGUUUCAAAGUUAUAGUUUAGAUAUACAGGUUGAUGACAACAGUCAUCUCAGACUCACAGGGGAGUUCUCUAUUACCUUACCUGUCUUCUUUCGUUUAUUCCUGAUGAAGACUCAUCUCAUUUACAGCCCCUACUGUGAGAAAUGGAUCAGAAAAUGCUUGAGAGUCUACAACCCAGGAUCCAUCUAUAGGAAAGAAGAAAAAGAAGAUCUCCAAAUAGUAAACACAGUCAAAACUUUCUUAUAGAUCUUAACACUUGAAAAAAAUGCAAAGAGAAAACCCAUUUCCUAGGAUAUUACAAUAUACAGGAAAUGGUAGCUGUAGGAAGAAUUACCAGGGGAUUUUAAUCUUCUGCACCUAAGAAUGAAAUUGCCUACAUGAAGGUGAAGAUUUAUUUCUUUGGCAAGAAAGUCAGUUUGUCUCUUGACGGUUGUACCGUCUGUCCAUCACUAGAGCAACAGCCAUGCUUUAUGAAUGUGAACAGAAAAACACAUACCAGUUUUCUCUUCUUCAAAGAAUUUCAAAAAGAAUCUGUAAGAUAAUAUAUAAUGACCCAGAGAUGAAAUAUGGGAAUUUAAAUUAGCCAGCAUAAAUAUGUUGUUAAAAUUUUCUGCCUUCUAUUAAUAAUUUUAACUUUUCCUGCUAUGAAUAAAAAGACGGUUAUGUAAUGUCUACCAAUCCCCAAAGCCUGAAACAUUGUGGAAAAGUGUCUUAUUUCUCCCUAACUGGUCUUUGGUCACCAUACUUUUCAUUCCCCAUCUAAAUUCUCUGUUUCUCAAGUUCAUAAGAGGACUAUGUGAGGAUGUCACUCUCAUGUAGAAGACCAAGGAACUCUUUGUAAUUGCAUGCAUUUGCUCUUAGGAGCAUGCAAAUAAAUCUUUCAAUUCCAAGAACAAAAACAUGGCCGUCCAAUUGGACCCACAUGAUACAAAAUCUUUCUUUUUGCUGACAAUGAACUUUAGCAAACUGGUAACAAUGCAGAUAACAAUAUAAUGGAAUAAUCCUGUAAUAAUAAUUAUUAUUAAUAAUAAUAAUGGAAUAAUCCCUUCGAGGGAUCACAGAAUAAGGAUAGUAAAUGUUGAGAUGUGUUUUUCAAGUGAUAUUGUAUCCAAGCAAGCAAGUUUCAAUAGGACAGACUCCUCACACAUGAAAAUCAUGCAACCUGUCAUGACUUCACAGAGAGAGUUGAGAACCAGAGUGGUCUUUUAGCAUAAGAGAAAGAUUCGCCAACCUUCUAAAAAGAUAAGCAAUCCAGACAGUCUGUUUGAGGAUGGUUAGCUUGUGCAUGACGAACACAGACAAACACACACACACACACACACACACACACAUAUGUACACACACUCAGAUACACAGAGACACACACAAAGAGACAUACACAGUUAGACAAACAGACAUACACACAGAGACACAGACAGAACGACACAAACACACAGACACACAUACACAUACACAAACACACAGACACACACUCGCAUACACACAGAGAGACACAUAAACACAUACAGACACACAAACAGACACAUACACACAUACACACACAUAUACAAAAACACAGACACAGAUGACAACCAAUAUACAGAUACACACACACACACAAACACACAUACACAUACACACACACACACACACACACACACACACACAAACAUGCCCUCAUCUCUUGUCUCCUUCCUCGAAUGUCCAGGUGCACAACAGGUGUGAAAGGAUUGAGUGGAACCAGGAACCAGUCAGUCAGCAGAAUAUUGUUCUGCCUGCAAAUUAAUUUUGGUGUCUUCCAAGGAUUUCAGCGUCACAGCUCUGUUAGAAGAAGAACUAGAAAUGGCGUCUCAGUAUGGCUUCGCUUUGCAUUUCCUAUGGCUCAGGAUCCUGCAUACCUUUUCAUGUGCUUAAAAUCGACUCCACGGAAUGUGUCUCAUCAUUAACCCUGACGUCCUACUUGCUCAAUUUCAAAGGAUUGCAGAUGGUGAACCAAGGUGAUGAUCAAGAAUCCAUUAGCAAUCCUUAGAGUUGAGCGAAAGUUUUAUUUUCUAAGUAAGAGGACACCGGCUCCAUGUUAAGUCAUGUGGUAACUUAAGGGCGGAAAAUCAAACAAAGAAAUGGAGAAGCUGCCUGGGCUGACAUGCUGUCGGUCCCCUGCUGUGUAAUAAGUAAGUGCAGGUC